UCUGUCAACGCCGAAUAUGUAUUGUAUAAUCAAUAUUAUCACAUUAAACACCCUAGAGUGUAAACUAGUCCAGACAUGACAUUUACAAUUCUCAUGAGAGCAGUGAACUCUCAUUUUCGCUCAUUUGCAUGUUUUUUUUUUUCGUCUUCACAGUCUUGCCUUGAAUCAAGAGCACUUCUUAUAGUUCAUCAUGCCAAGUACAUAUGUGCCCUCCCUGAAAACCACAGGUUUCCCAUGGGAAUGUUCCCCAAAGUCCUGGAGAGUCUGCUUAGAGAUCAGGUCAUAACAGAUAAACAGAUUGACUCCACGGACCUUCUGGGAUGUGUGCAUACAGAUGAGUACCUGUCCAACUUUAUCAGUGGCAAAAUAAGUGAGAAAGAUCAGAGACUAACCGGAUUCCUAUAGAGUUCUUGUAUAGAACUACGCUGCAGAUUGCAGAUAUGAGACAGGGUUAUGGAACAGCAUUCAUAUUUAAGGAUGAACUGGAUGUUUUCACCUUCUCAGCGCAUUGUGGGAAAAACGUUCCUGUGAGAAAACAACAGUCACCUAGCAUUGAAGACAAAGAGCAUGUUUCGAAAGGAAACACCUCGGCUGGAUAUAGUGCUCUAUACUUCUGGAGUGGAUCCACACUGGAAGGAUGAACUUGGAAGACUUUAUCUCACAGAUGAAGGACUUUACCAGAGGGAUCUUUAUGUUCUUCAGACAGUCAAAAGGGGCAUUCCUGUGGCUACUGUCAUUGGAGGAGGCUAUUCCAGAGAUAUUGAUCAACUGGUGCCCAGGCACUCAAUAAUUCACAGAGCUGCAUCAAAGGUGAGGUCACAGAAUUCAUAAUGAAAGUAACAUGUAUUUCAUGAACCUGUUUAAAUUGA
Molecule: long non-coding RNA, 869 nt
Organism: Carassius gibelio (silver crucian carp)
Lineage: Eukaryota; Metazoa; Chordata; Actinopteri; Cypriniformes; Cyprinidae
Exons: 5
Source: RefSeq, a predicted model, not a curated record